This 315-nucleotide unclassified non-coding RNA is filed under the name uncultured Ascomycota. RNAcentral describes it as "sequence contains ITS1". The stretch from base 1 to 105 matches the Rfam family "5.8S ribosomal RNA", at positions 50 to 154 of the family's 154-position model. RNAcentral also lists the same sequence under 2 other names. Lineage: Eukaryota; Fungi; Ascomycota. The record is from RNAcentral.
GAAAUGCGAUAAGUAAUGUGAAUUGCAGAAUUCCGUGAAUCAUCGAAUCUUUGAACGCACAUUGCGCCCCCUGGCAUUCCGGGGGGCAUGCCUGUCCGAGCGUCAUUGCUAACCCUCCAGCCCGGCUGGUGUGUUGGGCCGCCGUCCCCCCUCCCCGGGGGACGGGCCCGAAAGGCAGCGGCGGCGUCGCGUCCGGUCCUCGAGCGUAUGGGGCUCUGUCACACGCUUCAGUAGAACCGGCCGGCUUGCUGGCCAUCACCUAUAUUUUUCUCUUAGGUUGACCUCGGAUCAGGUAGGGAUACCCGCUGAACUUAA